UAUAUGCAUAGAAAAAGAGAGAGAGAUAUACGAAAUAGAUGGUUAGUUAGAUUCAAAUGAUUUGAAUUAAAGAUUUGUUUUUAUUAUAAAAUAGUAUUUUUAAAAUAGUUUUAAGAGGAUAGUUAGUUAGGUUAUACUAAGGAAAACGUCUAAUACUACUCACAUUGAAAACCUAUUCUGCCUCUUCUCCUCCAUAUUGUGCUACCUUCACAUUCCAAAAUUCUUAUGUUCUCAUUUCAUUCCAGCCAAAUACACACCUAAAAUCAUCACCACCUUCUCCUUGUGUAGUACAUCAUCAACCGUAAGGGUGAAUAUGAUUCUAAGACUUUGGGAAAAUCAAAGGAUAGCAAAAAGAAUAAAAGUGUUCGAGUGAUUUGAAUGGUUGAUCGAGUGUUGGAAAUCACAAUUCGAAAUCCCUGCCACCUCAAUCAUUCGUUGGGUAGUAGUGACGAGAUAACAAGUCUUAAGCAGCGGGAUUUGAGGUAUUAGACAGGGAAGUAUGUAUAGUGAGCAGGGUCAGUUCUGGUAUGUAUACUGUGAGCGGCUACGGGCGGACAAACGAUCUUGAACGCCGGUGGUGCCUUAGUUUUAUUUUAAGCAGUUGAUAAAUCUAACACAGUGGAAAUGCAUUAUUUAAAAUUAUUUACUUACUGUAUCUUGUUUUACAAAUGAAGGAUCAUUCUCUGUUGCAUUUUGAUUUUUUUUAAAAUCCACUGUUGUAUUUAAAUUAUUAUUUUUUUUUUAUCUUUUCAAAUUAUGCAUGAAAAUAGUAUUUUUGUAAAAUAAGGCAAAAUA
Long non-coding RNA from Cannabis sativa, 795 nucleotides. RefSeq lists it as uncharacterized. NCBI's taxonomy places the organism in Eukaryota, Viridiplantae, Streptophyta, Magnoliopsida, Rosales, Cannabaceae. The transcript is spliced from 3 exons. The record is from RefSeq and is a predicted model, not a curated record.